CAGCAGCCGCGGGAAUACGUAGGCGGCAAGCGUUGUCCGGAAUUAUUGGGCGUAAAGGGCUCGCAGGCGGUUUCUUAAGUCUGAUGUGAAAGCCCCCGGCUCAACCGGGGAGGGUCAUUGGAAACUGGGAAACUUGAGUGCAGAAGAGGAGAGUGGAAUUCCACGUGUAGCGGUGAAAUGCAUAGAGAUGUGGAGGAACACCAGUGGCGAAGGCGACUCUCUGGUCUGUAACUGACGCUGAGGAGCGAAAGCGUGGGGAGCGAACAGGAUUAGAUACCCCAGUAGUCCCUGUCUCUUAUAC
This 301-nucleotide ribosomal RNA is filed under the name uncultured bacterium. RNAcentral describes it as "partial 16S ribosomal RNA". It matches the Rfam family "Bacterial small subunit ribosomal RNA", at positions 509 to 807 of the family's 1533-position model. The record is from RNAcentral.